CGUCGGUCUCUCCGAUGAUAGCUAUUCAUUCAUUAUUUCCUUUGACUCUCGAGCUGCCCUAGCCCUAGCUAAAUCGUACAAUGAAUGGUUUAUUCUAUAUGAUUUGUAUGCUGUCAAUUUCUCUCGCACCACCCGUCUCAGACACCAUAGGAUGCCUUGAAGGCCUAAUCCGUAAAGAAACGAUACGAUGUAAAAACAUUUCAACCAGAGAUGGAUAUUAUAAAUACCCCUGGCCUUGGGUUGAAGUGUGUGAUAUUGAGCAUGAAGUUUACGCCGACGAUCAGAUGAUACUGGCUAACGGUAUUGGUGAAUUCCCUCAACAAAAACUCUGUCGAAACCUGACAGUGAAAUGCUUGUACACAAGUGAUGGCAAAAAUAAAGAAUUCUGCGCGAAAUUUGUCAUCGAUCACUCAUCUUCUGCUUCCUCUUUAUUAGACCCAGGAAAACCUAAACAACAGUUAAACAACACAAGUGAACAGACUGACACAGACUCAGUGAAAAAUGAAACAUCACCCACGGAUCAACAUACCCAGCCAGGUGAUGUUUUUUUUCCCCUUUCUGUUGGACGUUUCCAUGACAUCAGGUUCCAUUACAUUAUCUAGUUGUGUGACCGUCAAGUGUCGAACUGUGAGAGAUUUCAUGUCAUAUUCAAUGAUGCCAUACAUGUAGCUGAGGCUAUUUUUUG
Long non-coding RNA from Gadus morhua (Atlantic cod), 685 nucleotides. RefSeq lists it as uncharacterized. The record is from RefSeq and is a predicted model, not a curated record. The transcript has 6 exons. Lineage: Eukaryota; Metazoa; Chordata; Actinopteri; Gadiformes; Gadidae.